UACGUAGGGGGCUAGCGUUGUCCGGAAUCAUUGGGCGUAAAGCGCGCGUAGGCGGCCCGGUAAGUCCGCUGUAAAAGUCAAAGGCUCAACCUUUGAAUGUCAGUGGAUACUGCCGGGCUAGAGUCCGGAAGAGGCGAGUGGAACUCCUGGUGUAGCGGUGGAAUGCGCAGAUAUCAGGAAGAACACCUGCGGCGAAGGCGGGUUGCUGGGCCGACACUGACGCUGAGGCGCGAAAGCCAGGGGAGCGAACGGG
RNAcentral lists this ribosomal RNA (253 nucleotides) under uncultured bacterium. Its description in RNAcentral is "partial 16S ribosomal RNA". It matches the Rfam family "Bacterial small subunit ribosomal RNA", at positions 524 to 776 of the family's 1533-position model. The record is from RNAcentral.